AACGAACGCUGGCGGCAGGCUUAACACAUGCAAGUCGAACGCGUGUAGUAAUACACGAGUGGCGCACGGGGUGAGUAACGCGUGGAUAUCUGCCUUUUGGUUCGGAAUAACUCCGGGAAACUGGAGCUAAUACCGGAUGGUUCCUACGGGAUAAAGAUUUAUCGCCAAAAGAUGAGUCCGCGUACGAUUAGCUAGUUGGUGAGGUAAUGGCUCACCAAGGCGACGAUCGUUAGCUGGUCUGAGAGGACGAUCAGCCACACUGGGACUGAGACACGGCCCAGACUCCUACGGGAGGCAGCAGUGGGGAAUAUUGGACAAUGGGGGCAACCCUGAUCCAGCCAUGCCGCGUGAGUGAUGAAGGCCUUCGGGUUGUAAAGCUCUUUGGUCGGGGACGAUGAUGACGGUACCCGCAGAAUAAGCCCCGGCGUAACUUCGUGCCAGCAGCCGCGGUAA
RNAcentral lists this ribosomal RNA (453 nucleotides) under uncultured bacterium. RNAcentral describes it as "bacterial SSU rRNA". It matches the Rfam family "Bacterial small subunit ribosomal RNA", at positions 29 to 523 of the family's 1533-position model. The record is from RNAcentral.